Molecule: RNA transcript, 1828 nt
Organism: Tripterygium wilfordii
Lineage: Eukaryota; Viridiplantae; Streptophyta; Magnoliopsida; Celastrales; Celastraceae
Gene name: putative RING-type E3 ubiquitin transferase C3H69
Exons: 8
Source: RefSeq, a predicted model, not a curated record
UCCCUCACUCCAUUGCAAUAAAACCCUAGGAGCAGUACCCAAAUGAGGCUCGAAGUGAGGAUUCCAUUUUUCCAAAAUUGUAAUGUAUCCACUUCGCGAGAGAUACAGACUUUUCUGAUUCGCUGGGCGUCUCUCAUCUGUAUCUCUUCAAUCAAUUCAAUUGCCGAGGUUUCUUGGUUUUCAAUUCUUCAACGGAAAAGGGGGAAGUUUCAAUCUUGAGUCGCCAUGUCUAAGAGGGUCCUUUGCAAGUUCUUUGCCAAUGGAGCAUGUCUGAAAGGGGAUAAUUGUGAGUUUUCUCAUGAUUGGAAGGCUCCACCAAAUAAUAUUUGCACCUACUAUCAGAAAGGAAUGUGUGCCUAUGGUAGUCGAUGCAGAUAUGAACAUGUUAAAGCUUCUCGGUCGGAGUCAGCAGCAUCAUCUUCGUCAGAAAAUCCUCGCCCAUCUCUAAUCUCAAAUUUCAAUCCUGAUUUUCUUCCUCCAAAAACUGCAUCAAGUGAGGUAACUACACUUCCAAGUGCUCCUGCGGUGACUAAAGCUUUUGCUCCCAGCACUAAACCAGCUUGGGAUUCAGAUCCUACUCAGCACACUAUUUUGGACAAUGGUGAUGUUCUGGAACCCAGGAGUGUAAAUCCAGUUGAUCAUCCUCUCUGUUCAUUUGCCGCAGCUGGUAACUGUCCUCGUGGCGAUACGUGUCCGCAUAUUCAUGGGGACUUAUGUCUCACCUGUGGAAAGCAUUGUUUGCACCCUUUUCGACCUGAAGAAAGAGAGCAGCAUAAGAGAACAUGUGAGAAAAAACAGAAACACCUAUUGGCACUAAAACAUAGUCAAGAAAUUGAGUGCAGUGUGUGUCUGGAGCGUGUACUCUCAAAGCCCACAGUAGCUGAAAGAAAGUUUGGGGUACUAUCAGAAUGUGAUCAUCCAUUCUGUAUAUCAUGCAUCAGGAAUUGGCGUAGUACCUCUCCUAGCUCUGGAGUGGAUGUUAAUUCUGCACUGAGGACAUGCCCAAUAUGCCGUAAGCUGUCAUACUUUGUCAUUCCCAGUGUCAUUUGGUACUCAACGCAAGAAGAGAAACAGGAAAUUGUUGAUAGCUACAAGGAAAAACUCAGCUCGAUUGAUUGCAAACACUUCAACUUUGGGAACGGGAAUUGCCCAUUUGGGACUAGUUGUUUCUACAAGCAUGCGUUUCGAGAUGGCCGUUUGGAGGAAGUAGUUCUGCGUCAUCUUGGGGCAGAAGAUGGACUCACUGUGAUAGCUAAAGAUAUUAGGCUGUCAGACUUCCUGGGUGACCUAACUAUAAGGUGAAAGCUACUGCUCCUAUAGUUUGAGUGAUGCCUACUAGUAUCAAUAUAUUUUCAACGUCAUUGUGAGAGUUCUUCAAAUUGCUAGUUUCACACAACAGUUUUUUAUCUGGAUUUCUUGCUGGAUUUGUGACGGAAUUGUGGAAUGAUACUGGCCUAUUGGGUGAUCAAAUAUACUGGUUAUAGUAACUGAAAUAAAUAUUUACGGAAAGCGUUGAAAGGAGUUUAUAAUUUUAGGGUUGUCAUAAAUCAUGAGCUUCCCAGGACAAUGAAAUGUAAAUAAUGAUAUGUUGGCAUAGCUGUGGAAUCCGUCUCCUGUGUGCUUGCUAAUGCUAUGAUUGAACUACAUGAUCAUGGUAUAGAGUAUCACUUCCAAGGAAAUGUUUUGGUUUUGGUUUUUGGACCUGUGAUGAUCAAUCUUGCGUCUCUGGAUUCUAUUUUGGCAUAGAUGAAGAAAAAUGGUGAAAUUUUUAUUUUAAGGAAUUGACUAUUGAUUUCUUAUCAUAAUUACAGGGCUGUUUGAUUCAAUA